RNAcentral lists this long non-coding RNA (1081 nucleotides) under Nicotiana tabacum (common tobacco). Its description in RNAcentral is "long non-coding RNA (NTAB_LNC019118)". The record is from RNAcentral. Lineage: Eukaryota; Viridiplantae; Streptophyta; Magnoliopsida; Solanales; Solanaceae.
AACCGAAAAUGCAUUCAUGAGAUAACCAGAAUUAAACAUAAGAGAAUACUCGACAUAGGACGACCCAAUAUGGUAUACAAACUUAUACAUGUGACAUACUGACCUAUAAGACCGAAAUGAUCAUUUGUACACUCAAGACAUAGGCCGACAAGGCCAUACAACCAUCCAUAUACAUGACAUAUGUCUACAAGACUCUAAGAGUACAUAAACGUCAUAAUGGCUGGGACAGGGGCCCGCCAUACCAAUCUAUACAUGUCCAAAGCAUAAUGACUAAAUAGGCAACUCCGGAGCAAGUGGAGUGCACCAACACCUUCUACUAAGCUACGCCUACUAGGAGGAAUGACAACCUGUCUAUCGGGACCUGCAGGCAUGAAACGCAGCGUGUCCAGGCAAAAGGGACGUCAGUACGAAUAAAGUAUCGAAUAUGUGAGGCAUGAAAAUCAGUAUAUAAAAGGCGUGAAAGAAACAUGGAGUAAAAGACUCAACCUGUAAGCCUGAAUAGCUCACUGAAUCAUGAAAGCUUUAUAGUGUCAUGUAUAUACGUAUAAGUGUCAUAUCAUGCAUAUGUAUAUGCAUACAUAACAUGCUCAAGCCUGUGAGUCCCAUCAUAUCAUAUCGGCCUUAGUGGGCAAAAUCAUCAACGUAUACUAGCUGAUCAAGUGGUGGUGCGUAUAUAACACCGUAACCUUUUCCCAUACCCUAUAUACAUAUAAUAUAUGCGUAUAUAACUCCAUAUGUUCAUGGGUCAAUGUACAUGUAUAAGUGAAUGCAAUGCAUAAUGAAGUAAGUCAAUAAGAUCUCUCGGAAUGUCAUAAGAUCAAUAUGCCUUCAGAUAAACUUUAGCAACUUACGUAUUUUAUGAGACCCAUGAACAGACGAUAUAAUAAUAGGACACAUGGGGAAUCAAGAACAUAGGCACCCCUAGUACUUUUAUGAAUAUGUCAUUUAUGAAAGUUGUGUGUUUGCUCGUUUUAUUUGUAUCAUAUCGAUCAUGUCAAAAUGAAAGAAGGGAUAGCCUUAACAUACCUUUAUAGUUUACUUAACCACACGACAUCGGUUCAGCCCGUUAGUACUUCAAUCU